Molecule: long non-coding RNA, 1393 nt
Organism: Lagopus muta (rock ptarmigan)
Lineage: Eukaryota; Metazoa; Chordata; Aves; Galliformes; Phasianidae
Exons: 8
Source: RefSeq, a predicted model, not a curated record
UGUUGAGGGAAGAGCGAGCUGCACGCGCACGCUCCGCCUCACGAGGAGGAGAAUGAAAAAGCAAGAGAUUCUGAUGAGCGAGGCUUUUAUCCCUCAGUUCGGCUGACCCGGCGCCUAAUUAGCAGGCAGGAUCUCUUGGAUUGACACCUUGCUUAACUGAGUGGUUGUGCUUUACUGAAUUUUUCCAUUGAUGAAGAAUCCUUCAGAACCAUUGGUAUCUGAAGAGACAAGGUAUCUUGCUGCAACUUCACUAAGUGGCAUUUCUUGUCGAUGAGAGGAACUCGUCUCUCUCUUUCCACACAAACAGAGCGCAGAAUGGAGCUGUAGUAUGGACUUCUUUCAGAAAGACAGCAACAAAAAUAAGACUCAGAGUAAAGAACCCUGAAGCAAGGACUUUUCAGUGGCUUCAUGUCUGUAUCAACCCGUGUCAUACCCAGAUGAAUUCCAUAAUGAGUCACUUCUGAUCCAGCUUACUCAGACCUUCCAUGUUUGUUCCCUGUCUACAGACCACGAGCUCUCAGGUUCAAGGCAGCAAGACUCACAAUCCUGCUUACAGAAUGUGCCUGUUUUGCAGUCAUGGAGGCACCCGGCCAGAUGAGGUUCAAGCUGGUCUGCAUUGAUUUGAACUUAAGGUAGUGUUGGAACUGCUCUAUUACCUGGAAGAACUCUGGAUUCUGGUUAAGUUCAUUUUGAUCCUGCUCAUAUUGGCUGCUUAAAGUGUACUUACACACAGCUUGAGCCUGUCUGGAUGCUGUUCUUCCUCUUCAGUCAUUUUUCUGCCCUGAUUUGUAUUCCUGCCCUCCAGCGUAACGUUAUUCAGAAACUUCUCGUCCUCCUGUGCAGCAGCAUAAAUAAGUUUGGCCACUGGGAAUACAGUACAGGGGUGGGAAAACAAUCCCGUAAUUGAAGACCUACUUCUAGCACCAGCGUUGCGAAUUAAAUCCAUCAGAGGACUCUCAGAACCCAGGACAACUUGCCACCUCAGAGCAACUUAUGCAUUGAAGAGUGUAGAUGGAAGCAACGGUAAGUAGAUUAAACAGAGGCUAAUACUGUGAUUGACGUUGGCAAUGGUUGGCAAAAAAAGGAAGAAAAGAAAAAAAAAGAAAAAGCUCUGAUAAAACUGCACAAAACAAUUCACAGUACUAUUUUAGCUUUUCCACACCAGGAAUGGACUCUCUUUGUUUUGCAGUUGGUUUCAUUGCAGAUGCUCUCUGGUUUUUGAAGUCAGCCGGCGACCGCUCACGGAGGCUGGGAGGGACCCUGCUCAGAGCGGGGCCGGGAGAGCGCCUUGCUGACGGCCAGGGGUACCAGCAGGCGUGCUUGUGCAGCUUCCUUUAGGAUCUCUGUACUAAAAUAACCUGGUAACAAGAACUGUAACUUUUUUUUUUUUUUU